CCUUGAGGAGAGCGCUGUGAGGAGAGCGCUGAGGGAUGUGGGGAGAAAUUGCUGCUCGAAUCCAGCUGAGGCCGUCGCCUCUCGUCCCGUCCUGCUGACUCCCCAGAAGCAGAAUGGGGAGAAUGAGUAAAUGUCAGUUGUUGCCCCAAGCUGAGCGUCUUGGGCCUCACCCUCAGCGCCCGACAGACCCCAUCUCCUCGGGUCCCACAGGAGAAGCCUCCAGCUGGUCUGUAAAUCCGAGGUCAGCGACAGGCUACGAGCAAGGGAGGCUUUAGGCAUGGCACGUCAUGAGGCAGAGGGUUGUCUUGUGAUCGUUUUCUCCUCUUGCCCUGCCACAGGAUGAAUUCCUUCUCACGGUUUGGCUGCCAUACCACCAUCCCACGGACCACAACAGGAGAAAGCAGGGAAGCACCAAGAGCACAUCCAAGGGACUUCCAGCUGUCAGGAGCUGCUGUGGCUGCGGUGGAGAUGAUGGUGAGGGAUCUGAGGCCCUUGGACCCAUUUGCCAUCCAGUAGCAGAGGUGCUGUGCAAGCUAAGCUCCCCACCUCCACCAUCGAAGGUUGGGCUGAAUGUCUGGACAGUGCCCCACAGCGUGCCUGGUGGGCUUGGAGGGAGAUAGCAUCUGACUCUCUCUCAUCCUGGCAAGAAGAUUGCCUUACUUUAUAAUGCUGCAAAUCAGAUGCCAAGAACACGCUUUUGCCAUCCAGAGGAGGCAAGGCUGUUAGGAGUGGAGGCGUUGACAUAAAGUGCCUUUGGGGGAAAUGGCACAGAGCAGCAUCCCUAGUUCAAGAGGCUGUCUGAGUGUAGCAACAGUCUCUUGUUCCCAGGCUCUGGGCCAGGGUAAAUUGGCUGCAGUGUACUUUGGGAAUGAGGAGUUUGCCUCCAGGAGAAAAAGGGUUUAGAACAGCUUUGCCGAGAGUCCCUCUUCAGCUCAUCCACGCAGAGGGACGGCUGCCAGCUCCUCGGGUGGGCCCGGUGCUGCCUUCCCUGGAUGCAGCAGGAGCUGCUCUUAGCAGGUACAAAUGGGAGAUUUAGAUAUGGGGACACAAGUGGAGACACCCAGACUGAAUUUGCUAAUGUGAAGCAACCAGAGCUGACAGAAUGAGAUGAUCCCAACAGGCAGGAGAAGAAGGCAGGCACUAGGACUGCGCUCUCCAUGCUCCAAAUGCCAAGGUUUGCCUGUGCCCCCCUCGUCCUCCACAAGGUGCCAAGCAUUCAAAUGUAUCACAAAGGGGUACAUCAGAUCUGAGCACAGAGAGCCUCAGCCCUAUACCCUGCCCAGACCUGUGCCCAGGAUAUGUCCCCUCCCCCGGGCCUGUAUCCCAUGGCCCAUGUGGAUCCCCUCCCCACUGGAGAGGACAUGCAGGCUGUGUCCCUGAGAGCCUUGACUCGUGCAACCCACAUCCAUACCAUUACACUGCCUUUAAAACAGAGCGGCCCUACAAACCUCUUGCUGGGCGCCGCUCUCAGUUCCGUGCCAGCCCUAAGCCCAGCCAGAUGCCCAGUGCAGGGCUGGUUGGCUGUGUCAUUUUCUGUGGGUCAGGUUGCUCUUUUCCCUGGCACGGCUUUCUAGCAUACAGAAACUCCUCGAGCCAUUUUAAUUAGCUCGUGAAUAACUUUUUUUUUCCCUACUGCAUUUCAGUUAAACUUCAUGAAAUUCUGUGACUUGGUACAAACAGUGAGUAAGCAAAUGCACAGCAUCCGUUAUUCUGUCACUUAAAACAUCUAAGUUAAAAUGUUGGAAAAUGAGUAUAUGAAAAGAAUAGUGAUCUAAACAUGUGUUUCAGUUCCAGAAUCAUGGCAAACUAGAGCCGGGAGGAACCUUGGAUGGAUGUUCAGCUCACCCUGUACCCAGAACGAGGUCAGCUGUGACUUCCUGGUGUUAUUACUGAUCUCCAAGGACGGGCGUAAUGAGGCAGAGGGGAGGAGCAGCUUUCUCGGGUGCAUGGAACUCUCCAAACCUGCAGCUAGGGCAUCUCCAGCCAACAUAU
Molecule: long non-coding RNA, 1992 nt
Organism: Numida meleagris (helmeted guineafowl)
Lineage: Eukaryota; Metazoa; Chordata; Aves; Galliformes; Numididae
Exons: 3
Source: RefSeq, a predicted model, not a curated record